AUGAUAAUAAUACAUUUUUAUUAUUAAUAUGAGUGAUUUUGCUGAUGCAGCUGAUAUUAGGCCCCCUGUUCUAGCAGUAGUCUAUUAUUCCCAGCCCUAGCCCUGGUCUAUGUCUCUGGAUGGCGGUGAAUUAUAUAAUAAGAUAAUGUGUAGAGCUGUCAGUCUGUCCUUGCAUCCUCAGCUGCUGCCUUCACCUCCAUAGACAGAGCUUGCAGGAUCACUAGAGGGAGCCUGUGCCUCUUCCCUUGGACAAUAAAGGGAGUUUCCAUGUUGCAUUCAGGCUGCUGCUGCUGCUGCCCUGAGCCUCUUGUGCUCCUCACACUAGCAGCAAGCAGCACCAAGCGGGGAGUGGUGUGCAAAUUGUGCAACAUGCAGAUGCCAUCCGUGCCUCCAAGCCCUAGUCUAGGUGUCAAGCGGGGCUUUUUGUGGAGGUCAUCCAGGGCCAGGAAGGUGGAGGAGCCACCUAUGUGCUAGAAGGCGCCUUGGAUCUAUCAUUGCAUUGGAUCUGUUCCCAUCUGUGCUGCUGCUGCUCCUGGGCUUGGGAUUGCCGGACACUUUGGGGAGGUGGAGAGGAGGACAAGCAGCUGUGUGUUGGUGAUUUGUUCAUUCCUGUGGCCAGGAGAGAGGUGUGGAGGUGGCCUUCACCCAGGCUACUCAUCAUGGGGAAUGCAGGCAGCAUGGAUUCUAACCAGACUGAUUUCAAGGCACAUAAUAUGCCCCUUAAGCUGCCCAUGCCUGAACCAGGUGAACUGGAGGAGAGGUUUGCCAUCGUAUUGAAUGCUAUGAACCUUCCGCCUGAUAAAGCCAGGUUACUGCGUCAGUACGACAACGAGAAAAAGUGGGAACUUAUCUGCGAUCAGGAAAGGUUUCAAGUGAAAAACCCUCCACACACGUAUAUACAGAAGCUGAAAGGAUAUCUCGAUCCAGCGGUAACAAGAAAGAAGUUUCGGAGACGAGUACAGGAGUCCACUCAGGUUCUACGGGAACUGGAAAUCUCUCUGAGAACAAAUCACAUAGGAUGGGUGAGAGAAUUUUUGAAUGAAGAGAACAAGGGUCUGGAUGUACUGGUGGAAUACCUCUCCUUUGCACAAUACGCAGUCACAUUUGACUUUGAAAGUCUGGAAAAUAACGUAGAAAACAAUGUUGAUAAAUCAAAACAUUGGAGUCGUUCAAUUGAAGACCUACAUAGAGGAAGCAACCUACCAUCACCUGUUGGAAAUAGUAUUACCCGCUCGGGCAGACAUUCUACUUUACGGUAUAAUACUUUGCCCAGUAGACGGACGCUAAAAAAUUCAAGAUUAGUCUGUAAAAAGGACGACGUCCAUGUCUGCGUCAUGUGUCUGCGGGCGAUCAUGAAUUACCAGUAUGGGUUCAACAUGGUCAUGUCCCAUCCACAUGCUGUCAAUGAAAUUGCACUAAGUCUGAACAAUAAAAACCCAAGAACAAAGGCACUUGUUUUAGAGCUGCUUGCAGCCGUCUGCCUUGUCCGUGGAGGACAUGAAAUUAUUUUAUCAGCAUUUGAUAACUUCAAAGAGGUUUGUGGUGAAAAACAACGCUUCGAAAAGCUCAUGGAACAUUUCAGGAAUGAAGACAACAAUAUAGAUUUCAUGGUUGCCUGUAUGCAGUUCAUUAACAUCGUAGUCCAUUCGGUAGAAGACAUGAAUUUUAGAGUCCAUCUUCAGUUUGAGUUUACCAAACUAGCCCUGGAUGAAUAUCUGGACAAACUGAAACAUACGGAAAGUGACAAACUUCAGGUGCAGAUUCAGGCUUAUCUGGAUAACGUGUUUGAUGUGGGGGCUCUCCUGGAGGAUGCAGAGACCAAGAAUGCCGCACUGGAAAGGGUUGAAGAACUGGAAGAAAACAUUUCUCAUCUCUCUGAAAAGCUUCUAGACACAGAAAACGAAGCCAUGUCAAAAAUUGUAGAACUGGAAAAACAGCUUAUGCAAAGACAUAAAGAACUGGAAAUCGCCCGGGAAGUCUGUAAAGAUGCUAACACCCAGGUGCACACGUUACGGAAGAUGGUCAAGGAGAAGGAGGAAGCCAUUCAGAGACAGUCCACCCUGGAAAGAAAAAUCCAUGAACUGGAGAAACAAGGGACUCUUAAAAUUCAAAAGAAAGGCGAUGGGGACAUAUCUAUUACACCGCUAGUGACAUCAGGGUCUGCUCUGCCGGCGGGUACAGAAGUAGUGCUCAAUGCGUCAUCUGGUACCUUACCGUCAGGCUCUUCAGUUCCGGCUGCAGCUAUAUUAGAUGCAUCAGGAAUUUCUCUACCUUCACAAGUAAUGCCGUCACCUCCACCACCUCUGUCCUCAGAGUCUGGAGCCGUGGAAAAUGAACCCACGUCAUCUUCAAUGUCUCCUGCUCCUCCGGCUCCACCUCCCCCGCCACCUCCUCCUCCGCCCCCUCCGCCCGCACCACCUCUUCCAGGUCCAGCCGUGGAACCUAUGGUACCUCCACCACCUCCUCCCCCUCCGGGAGCUCCUCCUCUACCAGGAUCUGCCUCACCCACCGUUAUAUUUAACUCAGGACUCGCAGACGGGCCGAUCAAGCUGUUCUCUGUGAAAAUUAAGAAGCCGAUCAAGACGAAAUUCAGGAUGCCCGUAUUCAACUGGGUCGCUUUAAAACCCAAUCAGAUCAAUGGCACGGUUUUCAACGAAAUUGACGACGAAAGGAUACUGGAGGACUUAAAUGUAGAUGAAUUUGAAGAAAUCUUCAAGACAAAAGCCCAAGGCCCAGCCAUUGAUGUUGGCUCCACCAAGCAAAAAGCGGCACCUAAAGGCUCUAGCAAAGUGACACUACUGGAAGCAAACCGGGCCAAAAACCUCGCCAUCACCCUGAGAAAAGCAGGAAAGGCUGCAGAGGAGAUCUGCCGAGCUAUCCAACAGUUUGACCUGAAGACAUUACCGGUGGACUUUGUGGAAUGUUUGAUGAGAUUCUUGCCAACAGAGGCGGAGGUGAAGGUCUUUCGGCAGUACGAGCGGGAGAAGAAGCCUCUGGAGAACCUAUCGGACGAGGACCGAUUUAUGAUGCAGUUCAGCAAGAUCGAGAGGUUGAUGCAGAAGAUGACCAUCAUGGCCUUCAUCGGGAACUACAACGAGAGCAUCCAGAUGCUGACACCGCAACUUCACGCCAUUAUAGCUGCAUCUGUUUCGAUUAAAUCAUCUCAGAAACUAAAGAAAAUCCUAGAGAUUAUUUUGGCGCUUGGAAAUUACAUGAACAGCAGCAAGCGCGGCGCCGUCUACGGCUUUAAGCUUCAGAGCUUGGACUUGCUUCUGGAUACAAAGUCGACAGACAGAAAACAGACCUUAUUGCACUAUAUCUCUAAUGUAGUACGGGAAAAGUACCCACAGGUUGCCCUUUUCUUCAAUGAACUUCAUUACGUGGAAAAAGCUGCCGCAGUCUCGCUAGAAAAUGUCCUUCUGGAUGUAAAAGAACUGCAGAGAGGGAUGGAUCUGACCAAGAGAGAAUACACCAUGCACGACCACAACGUGAUGCUUAAAGAAUUCAUACAGAAUAAUGAAGGAAGGCUCAAGAAAUUACAAGACGAUGCAAAAAUCUCACAGGAUGCCUUUGACGAUGUAGUCAAAUAUUUUGGUGAAAAUCCUAAAACCACUCCUCCAUCUGUAUUCUUCCCAGUUUUUGUCAGAUUUGUGAAAGCGUACAAGUCGGCUGAUGAAGAGAAUGAGCAGCGGAAAAAACAGGAGCAGGCCCUGAUGGAGAAGCUUCUGGAGCAGGAGGCCAUGAUGGACCAGCAAGACCAGAAGUCUCCUUCACAUAAGAAUAAGCGGCAGCAGCAGGAGCUGAUAGCAGAGCUGAGGAGGAGGCAAGUGAAAGACAAUAGACAUGUGUAUGAGGGGAAGGAUGGCGCCAUUGAAGAUAUCAUCACAGAUCUUAGAAGCCAACCGUAUAGGAGAGCCGAUGCGGUGAGGAGAAGCGUGAGGAAGCGCUUCGAUGACCAGAAUAUGCGUUCUGUGAACGGUGCUGAGAUACCAGUAUGAGAUGGAGCCCCCCAUCCUUUCUUUUAAACCAGCGGGGGCGUGCACGUGUUUUGUAUGUGACGGGAAUCGGACCGUUAUCCCUCGUCGGUGAUGCACAACGGCCGCCAUUUUUGCCGGCACCUUCAUUGAACUGCAAAAGGGCUCAAACCGAUCACAAAUGAAAGACUGCAUCCGGGAUGAUGAUGUGAGCUGGAACCUCCACUCAUUGCAGAUAUAUAUAUAUUGUCCAAUAUUGUAGCUAACAAGUGCCUAAAUCCAACAUACCUGCUCAAAUGAGCAAUACAACUUGAUUUGAUCAGGUAUCUUUACACCAAUACGUUACUCAGUAUUUUUAACCAAAAUGUACAAUACAUCAUUUUUUAUUUUGUUACAUAUGACUUGAACGAGUGGUCGGUAAUCGCCUGUAGGAGUUACCCUUUGGUUUUUGUAAAUAAUACCGACACAUGGACUGGACGUAAAACGUAGGGGCGGGACGUAGUUUGGUGCGUUACGUUGCACUUAAAGGUCAAUCCAAUUCAAGGGCUUAUGUCGCGAGUGAAGGACUAAAAGAGAACACUGCACCUUUAAGAGGCGUAGAUUUAAUGGCUUUUUAUAUAUAUAUAUAUAUAUAUAUAUAUAUAUAUAUGAGAUUGUUGUCCUGGUUACUUUUUAUUUGUGUGCAAUUUUUUUCUGGAGCCUGCAGCCUUUGAAAUGCCAAUUUUUUGAAAUGAUUGACUAGCACCGGUUUACUAGACAGUAUUAGGCUUGAGAAGGUCAGUUCCAUAACUGGAUGAAUGUCAAUGAGUAUUUUUUUUUUUUUUAUAUAUAUAUACCCGUAUUUUUCGCACUUUUUCUUCCCCAAAACUGGGGGGGGGGAAGUUGGUGUGUCUUAUACGGCAAAUACACAUUAAACCCUGUGCUAUCGCGGCGGUCCCUGCGGCCAUCAACGGCCGGGACCCGCGGCUAAUACAGGACAUCCCCGAUCGCGGUGAUGCCCUGUAUUAACCCUUCAGACGCGGCAAUCAAAGCUGACCACCGCGCCUGAAGCGAAAGUGACACUAACCCGGUUGCUCAGUCGGGCUGUUCGGGACCGCCGCGGCGUCCCGAUCAGCUUACAGGACACCGGGAGGGACCUUACCUGCCUCCUCGGUGUCUGCUCCGUGCCGGGAUCCCCUGCAUGGCCGGCGCUCUCCUUAGUUGUCAUCACGUCGUUGCGCACGCCGUCCCGUCAUCCAAUAGGAGCUGAGUGCGUAGCGGCGUAUGUUGCGACGUAAUGGCGGCGACGGAGAGCAAGGAUACCCGGCAGCAGAGACGUUCCGGAGCGACGGGGACGCGGCGACAGCAAUGGGGGGGCGAUAUCCAGGGCAGCGGUGACGGUCCGGAGCAGCGGGGACAGGUGAGUACUGUACAGGUAGCUAGUGUUGCUCGCGAAUAUUCGCAAUGUAAAUUUUAUUCGCGAAUAUAGCACUAUAUAUUCGUAAUUACGAAUAUUAAUUUUUUGUUUUUUUUCACAGUACACAUCACAGUGAUCACCCCUCUCCGCUCCCAUCUUGUGUGGUGUAAAGAAGGCUCUAAUACUACUGUGGGAGACUGGCGCACAAGUUUUCGCACAUGCGAAAAUUUGCAUAUGCGAAUUUUCGUAUAUGCGCAAAUAAAACGCGAAUAUUACGAAUAUGCAAAUUUUGCGAAUAUAUGAUGAAUAUUCGUCCAUAUAAUUGCGAAAUAUCGCGAAUUCGAAUAUGACCUAUGCCGCUCAACACUAAGUAUUACCUCCUACACCAGUGGUCCGCAGGUUGAAGGUUCAGAAUCUUUUUUUUUCUAGCUUUUCACUCUUUAAAAUUGGGUGCGUCUUAUAUGCCGGAUCGUCUUAUAUGGCGAAAAAUACGGUACAUAUCAUAAACCUCCAGAUAAAAAAGCAGAAUCGGCCAUCUGGGUACAGACAAAAAGCACUUGCAUGACUUUUUUUUGGUUUUUGCAACUAUAACUCCCAGCAUGCUGAAGAAUGUGAUACCAUCUGUCUGUAAAAGAAUGAACACUCUGUAUGUGAUAUUUAUUUAUUUUUUUAUAUUACAAUUUAAAUCUACAAAAAAAAUAAAAAAAUUAAAAUGUAUAUUUUACAUGCAAAAAAAUAAAAAUAAAAAAAAAGCUCAAGACUAUAAACAAACCCUGAGUAGUCCCUAGUCCAAAGAUCGUAGCACUUGCAGUCCCCAUGGUUCGGUAAUAAAGACCCCUAGGUCGGUGGUCUCCAACUAUGGACCUCCAGAGAAAACUACAUUCAUCUCCCACAAUGAAAAGAGGAAAGCCAUGCAACUCUGUAUUAGCACAAGAUGAUUAAAAGAAAGUACUAGUUAAAGGGGUACUCCGGUAGAAAACUUUCGUUUUUUUUUUUUUU
Hyla sarda is the source of this 6369-nucleotide RNA transcript. It is a transcript of the gene named formin like 2, with no coding region annotated. The transcript is spliced from 28 exons. Lineage: Eukaryota; Metazoa; Chordata; Amphibia; Anura; Hylidae. The record is from RefSeq and is a predicted model, not a curated record.